This is a small nucleolar RNA of Homo sapiens (human), 90 nucleotides long. RefSeq annotates it as small nucleolar RNA, C/D box 58C. The record is from RefSeq and is marked validated. Lineage: Eukaryota; Metazoa; Chordata; Mammalia; Primates; Hominidae. The transcript has a single exon.
GUAGAAAGAUUUGUGGUUGCUGUGAUGACUAUCUUAGGACACCUUUGGAAUAACUAUGAAAGAAAACUAUUCUGAGCAACCCUUUCACCU